Molecule: ribosomal RNA, 492 nt
Filed under: uncultured bacterium
Lineage: Bacteria
Description: partial 16S ribosomal RNA
Rfam family: Bacterial small subunit ribosomal RNA
Source: RNAcentral
AGUGAACGCUGGCGGUAGGCCUAACACAUGCAAGUCGAACGGCAGCACAGUAAGAGCUUGCUCUUACGGGUGGCGAGUGGCGGACGGGUGAGGAAUACAUCGGAAUCUACUUUUUCGUGGGGGAUAACGUAGGGAAACUUACGCUAAUACCGCAUACGACCUACGGGUGAAAGCAGGGGAACUUCGGACCUUGCGCGAUUGAAUGAGCCGAUGUCGGAUUAGUCGGUUGGCGGGGUAAAGGCCCACCAAGGCGGCGAUCCGUAGCUGGUCUGAGAGGAUGGUCGGCCACACUGGAACUGAGACACGGCCCAGACUCCUACGGGAGGCAGCAGUGGGGAAUAUUGGACAAUGGGCGCAAGCCUGAUCCAGCCAUACCGCGUGUGUGAAGAAGGCCUUCGGGUUGUAAAGCCCUUUUGUUGGGAAAGAAAAGCAGCAGGUUAAUACCCCGCUGUUCUGACGGUACCCAAAGAAUAAGCACCGGCUAACUUCGUG